This 5090-nucleotide long non-coding RNA is filed under the name Solanum lycopersicum (tomato). Its description in RNAcentral is "partial TCONS_00047925". Lineage: Eukaryota; Viridiplantae; Streptophyta; Magnoliopsida; Solanales; Solanaceae. The record is from RNAcentral.
CUUAAAUACCACCCUCAAAAUAUGGAUUAUCCUUGCACAAACUUGUCUAUUCGGCCCAGUUGGAAAAGCCCAUCAUAGCAGUGAGUUCUGGCCAACUUUCGAAGAACAACAUGUGAGUCAAUAAUCUCAGUUUUCGGAUUUCAGGGUAGAAAGUGGGAAAAUCGGAGCCGGAGACGGAGAAUAGAAGGAAGAGAGAGCAAUGAAAUCGCCGAGAUGGGGAUAUGUUAGAAUUAUAUCAGGAACUAUUUUUGGAGGCAUUUUUGGAUUCUAUCUUAUGCAUCGCGCUGAACUUCAGUACAAGGAAAUGUGGAACGAGAGAUUGAAGAAGUAUGAGGAGGAGCUCAAAAUGAAGCAAAGUAUGGAGACGCAUACCCCCACUGAGUUGUCAGGAGAUCAUCUUGCGAGAUAGGUACUUUUGAACACCGACCUGCUAAUCUCUUUACUUACUGUAGUUUAUAGAUUGGAUAAGGUUUGAGAUGUUCAGUUUCUUAUGUAUCUUGUGGAUUAUAAUUUGAAAAUUCGAAUCCAGACUGGACACUCCAAUAACACUGAAUAAUUCGGUAUGAAAUUGCAGUCCAGGAAUUCAGGCUGACGUUCUCUGUGAAGCUUAUGUCUUGUUGAUAAUAAUUUAUGUUUAUGCUCUGAAGUACAAUGGGUUUAGUAGAUAUCUGACUGGGGGGUCAUAGAACACGAGGGUCUUAUUUAGGACUUGUUCAUGCUAAAAUGUAAUAUAUUGUUAAGUUAGACAAUUGUGAAUUAUGAAUUAUGAAUUUUGAGUCAUGGAUGCUUAAUUGCCUUUAAUCUGAAAUUACUUUCUUAGAUCAGGUUAAUCAAUAUUGUAAUAUAUUAUUUCUAGUUUUCUACAUAAAAAUAUGGUAUAUGGGUAAAAAAAAAAAUGGUUGCUCAAGCGCCUAGUGACCUCCACCAUACCCUACUGUGCAAAAGACCAAAGAAGGCAGGAGAUGAGGUGUAGACUCAUAUUUAUCCAAGUAAACAAUUUCUCUGUGUUUUCUUUUGGAGUGACAAUUCCUAUAGAAUAUGAUAUGUCCAAUCUGUACAAGUUGGUUUGGUUAAUGCCUAAUGGAGUUUUCAGGGAAGUGCGAAGUGGAACAAAGUGACAAGGCUUGCGUCACUUAAGCCAUGAAACCUAAAGCAAAGCACUCGCUUCAUUGAGUAAAUUGACCAUUAGAAAGGCAUCAAGCAGAGGCAAGGUUGUAAUCGAGAAAAAAAAAUUUAGUAGCUUCAGAACAUAGCUAUGUGAAGACUGAAGCUAUAGUAAUAAGCAAAAACCUGUGGAAAUAUUCAAACGAAAGCUGUCUUGGAACUCUUCUAUAUAAGAAUCAAGGAGCUAACGAAAACCAUAAAGCUAUCAACAUUGCUUACAGGGAAGUGGUAAUGCAAACUAAAUAAGCUAACUAAGCAAAUAGCCUUCAAAGAACUGUUGGGGGUUGAGUUCCCAUCAAAACAUCUGUCGUUUCAUUCUUCUCAAAUACACCAAAAGAUAGCUGCUGGGAUCAUAUUCUUCAUUCUUUUCAUGGAUAUGUCAACUCUUCAUGAUAUUAAGUUUUCAAAGGCAUCUUUAUCAGGGAAAGGCAUAACUCAUUUGAGACAAACAUUGAAAAGAAGAAGUGCCAAACAUCAGCUGUCAAUGGGCAGUGCAAAAGGAGGUGAUUCACAGUUUCAUUGGUUUUUCGUAUACAUAGCAUCUGUUGGAAAGAAUGAUGCGUCUCUUUCUGAGAUUAUCGUGGGUCAGGCAGACACCUUUUAGCAGUCCAGGUAAAACAACUGACUGUAUGAGGUUUCAAGUUUUCCAAACAUGUUUCCAGGGUCACUCAUCAAGAUCAAGCAUACCAUUCACAGAACAUCCCAGUUUAUUGCAUCCUUUCACAGUGUUAUCACCCUUCUUUAGUUGCCCCAAAAUUUAAGUUGGGUGUAUGAAAAUUUAAAACUAAUUUAAGUUUAUACAUAAGUAAUUUUUUUUUAAAAAAAAUGGUAAGAUUAAGUUAUAUAUUAGUAAUUAUUCAUGUUCCCUAGAUAACAGGUUUUAAACCACCUUAUCCCUACACUAGAAGCUUCCGUUAUGUCACGAAAAUCAAACAUUCUAUGUAUACACAAAAAUUAUACAUAUAUUAUUUAUUAAUAGGAAUUAGGAUUCCCCUUCAUGCGAGCUGGCUCCUUCCCUGCUUGCAACAGUUCCAUAUCAAUGUCUCCAAAAUCUGCAGAAAAUCGCAGCUCCUAUUUAGAGACACAUUUCAGUGUUCCAAUAGUUAUUUGCUAAAGUCCUGCUGCAUUUUGAAAUUUUGGCCAAGAGGUCUUUCCUCAGAACUGAAGUGAUUAAUCAAUAGCAAGAACAAGACUACUGUACUUAUGAUCCAACAAUAAUUUUAGAGGGAGAAGGUUUUCCUUCUUGUAUUGUACACUUGCACCUUGCUUCUUAAUUUUUUCAUCAGUUUACACUACAUACUUUAUUCAUGCAAUUUUCAAUACCUUUGUUUGUCCAAUUCGUUAUGAUUGUUUUUCCUCUGCUGCUGAGUCCAUUGCACUUGCAUCAGUGUUAUAUAAACUUUUUGGUUCUAAACUCUAGUGAUCAGCCCUAUCACUUAAUAUCAUUAUUUCUAGUCCUGAAUCUAUAGAUGGAGAAUGUUGAGGCCAACCCUUAGUCAACCAAACAAACUUAAAUUCACAUUGGCAAUCCCUUCUAUCCUAUCUAAUAUAUUAAUAUUAUCCAACCCAUAUACAUAAAACAAAGAUUUAGGGGCAUAUUGAUUUGCUGGAUUCUCGAUCUUUUCCUCUCCCGGUCGCUAAGUUUCUCUUUUUCACUCUUUUCUUUUUCUUUUGUACAGAUUAUUUACCACCCUAAUUAUUAUACAUGAUUAAUUAUAGAAUUGGUGAAAGCAGUCCACUACUAAUUUCUAUGCUAUUUUCUUUAACCACCAACUAAAAUAUAGUUACGAAUAGUCCAAAAUACCCAUUUAGAAUAUAUCGGAAGUCAUUUAGGAAAUAAGAAGCUCUAGUACUCAAAACAACCUAAUGGGUCGUUACAGAGUCGGUUAGCUUUCUAACAUCACCACCACAUUCUGUGUUAAAAGGCCAAAGUUCGAAGUAAGAACUACUCUCCUUGCGCCGUUCAUUCUAAUUCUUUCUUGAGCUACAAUGAGAUCUCUCUAGUAAGUCUUAAGAAGACUUUCCUCUUCCUUCCUUUCAAUGAUUGUGCUCUAUUUGUCUAAACUAAAAGUCUUUUUUCCCUGCUGUGUUGCCAUUGAAACUCUCUCACUUUAUCAAUCUUCUAUCCCAUUUAAAAGGGGCAUAAUUAAAGGCAUGGUGUAGGGGGGAAAAGGCACUGCCUAGUGAAAUGGAACUAAUACCUUUUCCAAAAAAAAAUCGAGGGUCUUUCUUUUCUUGUGUAUAAAUAUUUCUUUUUAAAAACUCAUUUUAAAUUUUACCAUUAUCGAAACUCGAGAUAUAUUUUUAGAGGCAUUUACUUAAAAGAGUGUUUAGGGAAAAUACUUGCAGAAGAAUUGAAAAUAACAUGUAGUAUCCACCUAAGAAUGAUGUUGAAUAUUACAUGAUUGUUCAGUUCCCACUGUGUUUACACUUGUCGGGUAAACUAAGCUUGUUUAGGUGAUCGGAACUCUAGUAGUAGGAUAUUUGAUGUCAAAUCUUGUUCACAGCUCAUCAGAUUUUAAGAGCGGAUAUUACCAAAUACUAGACAAAAUUCUCUUUAUCGUGUAGCUAUAGAUGUCUACGGGGAAGCUUAUUGGUAGCAAAAGACAAUGUGAUUCUCCGAUGUGCUCUAUUUGGUUUUUCCUUGCCAAUUACAAAUCUAUAUAAUCGCCUGGAUUCAUGAAUUAUUAUGGAAGAUCUUGCUUUAGAAUGCAAUUCAUUGAUAUAGAUGGAUGACUGUUGUCUCUGUGCUAUGUGCAGACUCCCCUUGUUGUUGUGUGAUGCCAUCUGAGAGCAAAAAAACAUGGUUGUUAAAGUGUACCUACCGAUGUGUUUGUUAUUAUAAAAACUGUGAGGACAAGCAUCUUAUCGAGAAAUGGAAGUAUAAAUGGUGCAGAUUUCCACCACUGACGCUUUGAUUAUGCAGUUUGGGCGUCUACAAACCACUUACUCUCCCCUUCUAAUUAGUUUACAUACAUGAUGUACCUCAUUUCUAGAAGUUUAUAUCCUCUAUAUCUAGACUGAAAAGUAUCCUGAGAUUGACAGCUUAAUUUAUUUCCUCUGAAGAAAAGGUAUUCAGCAUCUUGUUCUUUUGAAUUCUCAAAGUGGAACCGAUACAAAUUGGUGCCUUCGUUCUUGAGAACUAAGUAAGAAAUUCACUUGUUUUUGAAGAAAGUAUUUUCCAUGAAAACCGAAAAAGUCCUUGGAAUUGGGUUUUGGUGACUUUGGAUCGUUCAUGAAUAAAAGUUGGUGUGAUGAGUUGAUAUGUCAUUUUAGUUAAAAUGGAUGGGGUUAAAGAGGAAACACAUAUUCAAGCUAGUUUUGUAACGCCAAGAAUAUACAUAAAUAGAUUUUCAAUAGUAGAUGAGAAGUGCGACCUUUUUAGUUUGAUAUUUUUUUUCAAUAUCGUGUUUUUACAAAUGAAACACAACCUACCUAUGGUGAAAUUGUCAAUUACAUAUUUGAAACUAUGCUAGUGUUUCAUUACUUGCUAAAAUUAUUUUUUUCUUAUUAUUUACCAUCUAUAUCAAGCAAGGAUCUUAACACCUUGAAUUUUUUUUUAACCUAUUAAGUAUUUGAUUCUUUUAGAUCCAAAUCGGUCCUCUUCGUUUCAUGACUCGUGCAGGAGUUAUAUUCUAUGCCCUUGUGUAUAUUAGAUGCAAAUAAUAUUUCAAUGUAAAAAGAAUAGAAUAUGUGCUAUACAUAAUGAAGUGAAAAAAAUCCAACCACUUAGCAAUUAGACUUGAGAGACUACGAAAAUUUGGGUAAAACAUGAAAAUUCUUUUUUUGGUCUAAUAUACAUGUGUCUAUGCACGUAAUAUGGUUUAAUAUUAGGUAAUCAUUGAAAAAGAUAUAUCAUACUAAAAAAAAUAGAGGAGUUGAUAAGACCCCUAUCACCCUGCAUGCUUAAAUAUGUAAUUUGAUAA